AAGGCUUUAUCUUAAUUAAAGUGUCUGCUUUGCAUGCAGAAGAUGUGGGUUAGUGUCCCGCAAGUCUUA
Molecule: transfer RNA, 69 nt
Filed under: Joturus pichardi (bobo mullet)
Lineage: Eukaryota; Metazoa; Chordata; Actinopteri; Mugiliformes; Mugilidae
Description: tRNA-Ala
Rfam family: tRNA
About the family: Transfer RNA (tRNA) molecules are approximately 80 nucleotides in length. Their secondary structure includes four short double-helical elements and three loops (D, anti-codon, and T loops).
Source: RNAcentral